Molecule: long non-coding RNA, 1535 nt
Filed under: Zonotrichia albicollis (white-throated sparrow)
Lineage: Eukaryota; Metazoa; Chordata; Aves; Passeriformes; Passerellidae
Description: lncRNA (ENSZALG00000016156.1)
Source: RNAcentral
UCUAAAAUUAAUCUGUGCUUGCUCUUUUAUUACUUUUAGGCAAUAUGAAACUACCUAUAGACACCAAAUGAGGUCAAGGACCAUUGUACUUUCAUACUGGUGUCCUUUUGUGAGGCAUUUAAAAUCAAAAUACUCUGGCACAUAAAGGAAGCAGAUUUACACCUUCCUAGAAAGAAAAGCAGAAGUGACCAGUCACUGUUGCCAGGAGCAUUCUGCCUUUUUCAGAAGAACUUCUCAAGGAGCCCAGUUUCAGGUGGAAUAUUCAGGUGCCAUUCUGUAUUUCAGUGCAGCUGCUUUCAUUAGUGUUUAGAACAAUCCUGGAAUGCUCCUGGCAGUCGAGUUCCCUGUUCCACUGGUGCAGCUGCUCAGUUACAUGCCUGCUGCCCAUGGUGAGUGUGCUGUGAAAAUGCAUCAUGCCUCCUGCCACGUGGGAGAAGUGAUGUGUUUUAGUUUGCUGUUUUGCAGAAAACAUUGUUUGCCAUAUGUCUCAACAGAGCCUGCUUCUCUUUUUCAAGAAAUUGGCCAAGAAAUUUAAUUUGUGUUUUAGUCUUUUUUGCAUCCUGACUAGAGAUUGGCACGUGAAUUAUUUAAUUAAGCUGUGAAUAUUGCUGGGUAUUGCUAAGUUACACAAAUACUGUGUCAUUUAGCUAUUUAUGACUAACAAAACUAACAGUACAAAAAAAAACUAAUUAAAAGCUAAAUAAUCUUGGAGACUUUUGACCAGCUGUUAUAUAUCCAUACAACACCAUUCUGUUGAAUAAGGGAGCUAUUGUUGAGGCUUUUGACACAGAAAAGAAAAAAGAUGGGAAAAAAUUGUGAUAUUUUUCUUUUGGUUUUCCUCAUGUCCAAAAGAAAGCUGCAGCCUGUGGCAUUUCAGCUGGGCCUGGGGUGAGGGAACCACUGGCAGCUGCUCACACAGAAAUGUGCUGAACAGGAACCACACCAUAAACAAAAACACACUGGGCCUUCCAUGGGCAAAGCACCAGAGCAGAAUAUUAACCCCAGAACCUGCCUAGGUAGAAAUUCCUUUUGCUUGGGCAUAGCAGAUAACAAGGUUUUGUGCCUCUCUUUUUGGCAUGUGUGGUGCCACAGACUCCCCAGGAACCUUCCUUCAUUCUGCUGCUUAAUGAGCUGAUCUCUGGAGGGGCAGCUAUUUACUGAUUCACUGCUGGCUCACACCUUCAGCACAUGGUUUCUCUCACAGUGGUCCAGGAAACUCACUGCACCUCAAACCACAAGCACUGGCAAGAAUGCUCAUGCAGCCAUUGUGGGAUUUCCUCACUGUGCUGCAGAAAUUAUUUAAAAAUGGAAUAAUCCCUUCAAAUGGCUUCAGCAGUAAUGAGGGACUCAGGUACCUUAGAACAAACACAGUGUUGGAAACAAUACUGUUUUAAACAUCAGUACAUGCAAAAAAGGAUAGAAGUGAUUUAAAUGUCUGUCUCUUGUUUAUGCCUUGGACUGUAUGUACUUCACACCUCCUCACUUUUCAGGCUUACAUCUUUGAAUAGGAGGAGACCACCAUGUAUAGGCUAAAU